Molecule: ribosomal RNA, 253 nt
Filed under: uncultured bacterium
Lineage: Bacteria
Description: partial 16S ribosomal RNA
Rfam family: Bacterial small subunit ribosomal RNA
Source: RNAcentral
GACGAACUGUCCAACCGUUGUUCGGAAUCACUGGGCUUAAAGGGCGCGUAGGCGGUCGAUCAAGUCAGGGGUGAAAUCCUGCAGCUUAACUGUAGAAGUGCCUCUGAUACUGAUCGUCUUGAGGGAGGUAGGGGUGUGCGGAACUUCCAGUGGAGCGGUGAAAUGCGUUGAUAUUGGAAGGAACACCGGAGGCGAAAGCGGUGUACUGGGGCUGGUCUGACGCUGAGGCACGAAAGCCAGGGGAGCGAACGGG